CGCGUCACUAGGGAGUAAGGCUUUCUCACUUAUAUACCCAGCAUCCCUCCUGUGUUUUGUCGAUGUGGGACUCCUUCCUAAGUUGGGGUGUUACAUACUAACCCCUUACGGACUCAGCGUGAGCUGCUCUGAUACCAUUCUGUCACGACCCGGCCCUAGGCCUUGGCCGCGACGGGCAUCCCGAACCACACAGGCCCGAGAUACCCCUGUCUCUGGGCAACCCACUAGUGAUAUUGUCCGCUCUGGGCCUAGGUCCGCACGGCUUUAAAACGCGUCACUAGAGUGUAAGACUUUCUCACUUAUAUACCCAUCAUGCCUCCUGUGUUUUGCCGAUAUGGGACUCCUUCCUAAGUUGAUAUGUUACAUACAAGUGUUACAAUAUGAUGUUCUGAAAAGUUUAAUAAUUUGAAAUAAAUUCAUUAUGAGAUGUUUCUGCAUUUUUUUAUUUUCAGAUAGUUAAUACUAUGAGAGUUAUAAAUUGAAUGCAAUUUCAUGAAACUUAAAGGUGGAAAAAAGCGGAGUGAGGUGGUGUAGGUAUAUGCGGGUGCGCUGCGCGUCAAAUUGAUGCGGAUAAAAAUACAAUGAAAUGUUGGAAAGGAUGGAAUGAAAUUUUGAGGGUUAAAACAGAACCUACACCACACUUCAGAUUCUGUACUAUUUUUCUAUAUUAUCCAUAUUUGUUUACUAAAUUUGAUUAUCAUGUCCUUUACAAUAUUGGUGGUUUCAUUUAAUUGGUUUUGGCAAAGAUAAUUACGAAGCCAAAUCUUUGUAAUAUCAAAACAUGCAUGAUCUCUUACUCUUUUAAUGCUAAUUUAUAUGAUAUGAUUCAGGAAAAUCAUGGAAGUAUACUGUAAAGAGUCCUGAGGGCCUAGCGAUGACCAUCAUAUGUUGAUUGACAAAGACUUUAAAAAUGGGUGAAAAGAAAAUGAGAGAUCAAUUCAGUGAUGGUAUGCAGAGAACAAGGAUGAACUAAUGUUCGCUUUGCCCCGAGUCAGACAGGACAAUUGUCUUAAGCCCUCAUUCUAAUAUUGACGCCUUCACCAUCCUUCUCCAACUGAAUGAAGUUGAAGGUAUUCAAAUGCAAAAAGACGAUAUAUAUCUGGGUGUCUGUAAAAUUCUCUCAAAAACCUGAGUUUAUGGGAUACGAGAAGGAGAGACAUUUCACACUCUACUUGAAUUUAUGUGAGAUGAGAGGAAAGGAAAUUUAACACUCAACUUGGGCUUAUGAGAGACAACAGAGAGAAAUUUAACACUUAACCUGAGUUUAUGAGAAACGAAAGAAAGAAGAUGAAGUGAUUGAUGGUGCUAGAUAAGCAUCUACGUUUUAUAUAUAACCAUGAAAAAUCAAAUACUAUGUAGCCAUAAACUUUUGUUUUAGCAUUAUGUCUAGGAUAUCUGAUAAUGAUAGUGUAGAGUUUUACAUUUUAAAGUUCUUUGAUAGAGUAUUAAUUGAUUGCUUUCCUAUUAAUCUUAUAGCAAGAAAGUGAGUUGAUUGAAAAUAAAUUUCAUUUUAAAUCAAUUAAAUAUAUGUCUUAAUAUUGUAUAACUUCAGACAAGAAGUUGAAAUGAUCAGUUAAGAAGUUGAAAGGAUUCUUCAACCUUAAAUUUUGAAUCACUAUAACAUAGUAUAUGCAUUCAGCCAUUUUUUAUCUCUCUUUUCAAAGCCUAAAAUUUAAAUUUUGUACAGUCUAAAUUUUAACAGAUUAAGUUUGAUAUAAAAAGGUAAACUAAGAAACGUACACCAAGACAUAAAAAUGCAAGAUUAUCUGUAGUUUCAAUUAAAGGCAUUAAUAUCAUUACUAUUUUGCUCUCCUUUUUCUUUUAAAAAAUUUUCAUUCAGUGUCCAUAUUGAAGUCACACUAAAUUUAAAUUUGUGCCGAAAAAUCACAAACUCUUAUAGGAUUAAUACCAUACCAUAUACAUAGAUAUACUAGAUUAUGAAACGUGUGUUACACGUGUAUCCCAAGUUAACUAUUAAAUAUAAAUUUUAUAUUACAAAUAAUAAAUUUUAAAUGGUACAUAUAUUAUUGAACUUUAUCUGCGCUAUAAAAUAUAAAUCAAAUCAAAAAAAAAAUAACAAAGUAUUUUCUUUAUGUAAUGUAUAAACUUGAGUUUAGCAGACAAUAUUAAAAUUUAUUCUUCUGUUGGUGGAAGUAGCAAGUAUGUGGUAAAUUGAUUGAGGUGUGUGUAAAUUGUCCAAAAUUUUAUCUUUACUAAAAUAAACAAAUAAAAAAUCUUCUUUUUGGGUAUUAUUUAAUUUAUGAAAAAGGACCUAAAAUGUUUUUCAACCAUGUGAAAUGGUAUAAAAAUGUCGUCCGUCUACCUAUUGGGUCUAAAAUGCUCUUUCUAUCUACCUAUUAGGCCUAAAAUGCCCUUUCCGUCAUCUAUUGGGGCUACUUUGCCCUUUUAUUUAAGAAAAAUUUACAUAAUACUACAACUUAUCUUUAUUUAACUACAUAAAAUCUGUAUCCUUUUUAUUAAUAUUAACCAAACAAAUACAACAACAACAACAAUAACAAACCCAAUGUAUUCCCACCUAGUGAGGUCUGGGGGGUAAGAUGUACGCAGUCCAUACCUCUACCUCUGAUGAAGAACCAAACAAAUAGUAUAAUUAUAUAUUAAAUUUUCAUAUUUCUUAUUUAUUGCUUAUUUUUAUGGAAGCUCUGUUCAUUCAUUUUUUUAUAUACAAUAUAAAAAAAAUUAUGUUUUUUAUUUUUAUUGUCUGUUCACGAUGCCUCCAUAAGAAUAUAUGGUAUAUUUGUACCAUAAAAAUUUAUGAUAUAUUUACAUAUUAUACAAAUUAUAUUUAUAUCAUAAAAAUACAUGAUAUAUUUAUACCAUACAAAGUAUAUUUAUACCAUAAAUACGUGAUUUAUUAUACCAUAUAAAUUAUAUUUAUAUCAUAAACAUACAUGAUAUAUCUUAGAUAUAAAAAGUUUAUACCAUGUAAUACUGGAAAUAUAUAUUAAUAUUUAAUAAAUAAGUUUUAACAAGAAAAGUACUUCCGACAUAAUGAGAUAUAGCAAGAAUAUUUAUCCCAUAAAUUAUGUAAAAAAUAUAAUAAUAAUUGGACAAUGACAUAAAUUAUAUUUAUACAAUAAAAAUACAUGAUAUAUCUGUACUUCCAACAUAAUGAUUUUUAUUUCAUGAAUAUUUAUCCAUAAAAAUUAUGGUUAACCUACUACAUUAGAAUUUAAAAUACAUGAUAAUCAAAUAAUACUAGAUGAUUAACAUACACGAAAAUAAAAAGAAACAUACACGAGCAAAUAAUAAAAUACUUGAUUUAUUUAAAAAUAUUUGGCUUUUGGCCAUAAUAAUAAAAAAUUCCAUUUACACUAUAAAUUAAUUUUUUCUUGGACAUUUUUAUCCUUUUAACUUAAAAAUUAAAUAUAUUUUUCUAUCACAUUUUCAAUGCAUUGAUUAUUGUAGAGGAACUUAAUUACAAUCAAUUCAUUGAAAAUUGUUUCUCAAUUUCCCUUAGCCUUAAUGAUAUAUUUCUGCAGAUUAUUUUUGACAAGGAAUACGAUGGAACAUACGGUUUGACAUACUCAUAUCUUAAUGAUAUAGCCUUAAUGAAACAUACGGUGGAAAUUCAAACGUAUUUUCAAAUCGAUUUAAACAUAAUUUUUACUAAUUUUAAUUCUCGCUUAAAAAAAAUUGUCUAAUUUAAUUCUUUACUAAAAUAUUUUUUCUCCACACUUAAAUAUUUUUUCAUUGAAACGUAUUUUCAGUAUUUGGAAACAUAAGGUGAUAAAUACGUUUAUAGUUUGCCAAUUUUCAUACAUACUCAUUAUUUGUUAAUUUCAGUAUAAUUUCAUAUUUGAAAGCAUAAUCAUUAUUUGUUAAUUUCAAUUUAAAUCUAUGUAAAUACGUUUUCAAAUACAUUUACUUAGACAGACAUUCUUAAUUUCAGUUAGUAUAAUUUUACACAUUUUCAAGUUAAGAAAAAAAAAUUAGGUAGAGAUCUCAAAAUUUUAUUUGUGACAGUGAAAGACAAUCAGUACUUUAGUUCGAAUUUUCUAAGUUUGAACAUAACAUCUCGACUCUAGCUACGACUGUUCAAAAUCAAACCGAAAUCAAUAAUCUAUAAUGAUAAUUUGGUUACUGAACUAGUGGUUCGAUUUAUCGAAUUACCACAUGUAAAGUGUGUUGAUUGUUGUUAUCGCAAUAUUUUAAAACUUAUGUUUGAAAUAUAUAUAUAUAUAUAUAUAUAUAUUGAUUUUAUUUAAGCGUAAUAAUUAAAAAAAUAAUUCAUUCGAGGUCAUUUUAGUAACAAAUAUAAGUAAUAAUUCAUAAUUUAUCAAAUCGGCGUAAUAUAUGGGCGAAAUACUUGUAUGAUUAACACUUAUAUCUCAUUCUCUUUUGUUCGACAAAUAUGAACUAUAAGCAUGAUUUUUAUAAGUGUCAGUGUUCAUCAGGUUUAAGGUAUAUUGAGUUAUCAUUAGUGCAAUAUCUUACAAAUUAUGCCUGAGAAUUAUUUAAAUAUAUCUUUUUGUUUUAUUUAAACAUAAUACUUAAAAAUAAGAAAGAGGUUAUUUUAGUAACAAAUAUAUGUAAUGAUUCACAACUUAUCAGACCGGCAUCACAUUGGGACGAAAGACUUGUACCAUCAAUACUUAUGUCUCACUCCCUUUGAUUCGACACAUAUGAACUAUAUGCAUGAUUUUUAUAAUGUAUCGAUAUUUACCAGUUCUAAAGUGUCAUGAGUUGUCGUUAUUGAAAUAUUUCACAAAUUACGUUUAUAAAUUAUUCAAAUAUAUAUUUUAAUUUUAUUUUAACAUAAUUAUUAAAAAAUAAUUAAUUAGAGGCCGUCUUACUAUCAAAUAUAAGUAAUAAUUCAUAAUUUAUCAAAUUCGCGUAACAUAGAAGCAAAAUAAUCGUACGAUCAACACUUAUGUAUCACUCUUUUUGGUUCAACAUAUAUGAACUAUAUGUAUGCUUUUUAUAAUCUGUCGAUAUUUACCAGUUCUAAAGUGUGUGGAGUUGUCGUUAUUGAAAUAUUUCACAAUUUAUGUUUAAAAAUAUUUAAAAUAAAGUUUAAUUUUAUUUAAAUAUAAUAAUUAAAAGAUAAUUGAUUGAGGUUAAUUUAGUAAUAUAUAUAAGUAAAGACCUGCAAUUUAUCAAUUUGGCGUACAUAAAGGCGAAAGACUUAGUUGUCGUUAUUGCGAUAUCUUACAAAUUAUGCCUGAGAAUUAUUUAAAUAUAUAUUUCAAUUUUAUUUAACCAUAUACUUAAAAAAUAAAGAAUUAGAGGUCAUUUUAGUAACUAAUAUAAGAAAUGAUUCACAAUUUAUCAAACCGGCAUAACAUAGGGGCCAAACACCUGUACCAUCAAUACUUAUGUUUCACUCUCUUUGGUUCGACACAUAUAACCCGCACGGCUUUAAAACACGUCACUAGGGAGUAAGGUUUUCUCACUUAUAUAUCCGCUCUGGGCCCAGGCCCGCACGGCUUUAAAACGCGUCACUAGGGAGUAAGGCUUUCUCACUUAUAUACCCAGCAUCCCUCCUGUGUUUUGUCGAUGUGGGACUCCUUCCUAAGUUGGGGUGUUACAUACUAACCCCUUACGGACUCAGCGUGAGCUGCUCUGAUACCAUUCUGUCACGACCCGGCCCUAGGCCUUGGCCGCGACGGGCAUCCCGAACCACACAGGCCCGAGAUACCCCUGUCUCUGGGCAACCCACUAGUGAUAUUGUCCGCUCUGGGCCUAGGUCCGCACGGCUUUA
RNAcentral lists this long non-coding RNA (5725 nucleotides) under Capsicum annuum. Its description in RNAcentral is "long non-coding RNA (CANN_LNC019030)". The record is from RNAcentral. Lineage: Eukaryota; Viridiplantae; Streptophyta; Magnoliopsida; Solanales; Solanaceae.